Molecule: ribosomal RNA, 579 nt
Filed under: uncultured bacterium
Lineage: Bacteria
Description: partial 16S ribosomal RNA
Rfam family: Bacterial small subunit ribosomal RNA
Source: RNAcentral
UGGGGAAUUUUUGGACAAUGGGCGAAAGCCUGAUCCAGCAAUGCCGCGUGUGUGAAGAAGGCCUUCGGGUUGUAAAGCACUUUUGUCCGGAAAGAAAUCCUUGGCUCUAAUACAGUCGGGGGAUGACGGUACCGGAAGAAUAAGCACCGGCUAACUACGUGCCAGCAGCCGCGGUAAUACGUAGGGUGCAAGCGUUAAUCGGAAUUACUGGGCGUAAAGCGUGCGCAGGCGGUUUGCUAAGACCGAUGUGAAAUCCCCGGGCUCAACCUGGGAACUGCAUUGGUGACUGGCAGGCUAGAGUAUGGCAGAGGGGGGUAGAAUUCCACGUGUAGCAGUGAAAUGCGUAGAGAUGUGGAGGAAUACCGAUGGCGAAGGCAGCCCCCUGGGCCAAUACUGACGCUCAUGCACGAAAGCGUGGGGAGCAAAACAGGAUUAGAUACCCUGGUAGUCCACGCCCUAAAACGAUGUCAACUAGUUGUUGGGGAUUCAUUUUCCUUAGUAACGUAGCUAACGCGUGAAGUUGACCGCCUGGGGAGUACGGUCGCAAGAUUAAAACUCAAAUGAAUUGACGGGGUCAUA